This 367-nucleotide long non-coding RNA is filed under the name Homo sapiens (human). Its description in RNAcentral is "HSALNT0092024". The record is from RNAcentral. Lineage: Eukaryota; Metazoa; Chordata; Mammalia; Primates; Hominidae.
CGCGCACUUGUGUAAAAAGCGAGGACGUGACCGUUUUGGAAGCAUUGUUCUUUUCACUGUUAGUGAGGAGCGGUCAAGGAUGCGUAUUAAGAAAGAUCUUAUUCACUGAUUUGAAGAGUUCAUGCAUCGAGCCAGUAGGCUGUGCACAUGGGUAAAAACUGGCUGCGGCUAAACAGGCCUCAUCGGAGCACAAAGUUCCAAGUGACUUCAAAGGGUUUUCUGUACUUGGAGCAGCUCUAUGGGACAUGGAAGAUGAGAAAUGAACCGACACCAGAGGUGCAAUGAAAGGUAAAACUCAUAGCAUCACCACAGCUCUUAGAUAUGUAAGAAGUGCCUUUUGCCUCCUGCCAUAAUUCUGAGGCCUCCC